This 1242-nucleotide ribosomal RNA is filed under the name metagenome. RNAcentral's name for it is "bacterial LSU rRNA". It matches the Rfam family "Bacterial large subunit ribosomal RNA", at positions 1564 to 2816 of the family's 2925-position model. The record is from RNAcentral.
UGAAUACGAGACGCUAAGGCGUCGAAGUAGUGUAUGUCAUGCUUCCAAGGAAAGCUUGCACUGUCAUAGAUAAAAAACGCCUGUACCAUAACCGACACAGGUGGGUAGGUAGAGCAUACUAAGGGGCGCGAGAUAACUCUCUCUAAGGAACUCGGCAAAAUAACUCCGUAACUUCGGGAGAAGGAGUGCCUUAUUCGUAAGGUUGCAAUAACAAGAUCCAAGCAACUGUUUAUCAAAAACACAGGUCUCCGCUAAGUCGUAAGACGAUGUAUGGGGGCUGACGCCUGCCCAGUGCCAGAAGGUUAAAGAAGUUGGUUAGCAAUUGCGAAGCUGAUAACUGAAGCCCUGGUGAACGGCGGUCGUAACAAUAACGGUCCUAAGGUAGCGAAAUUCCUUGUCGGGUAAGUUCCGACCCGCACGAAAGGCGUAAUGAUUUGGAUACUGUCUCGGAGAGGGGCUCGGUGAAAUAGACUUGUCUGUGAAGAUGCGGACUACCUGCACCAGGACAGAAAGACCCUAUGAAGCUUUACUGUAGCUUGAAAUUGAAAUUGGACUUUAUUCGCGCAGUAUAGGUGGGAGGCGUUGAUUAUAAUCUUGUGGGAUUAUUGGAGCCAUCAGUGAGAUACCACUCUUGUAAUGUUAGAUUUCUAACUUUGAAUCAUUAUCUGGUCAAUGAACAGUUUCAGGCGGGCAGUUUGACUGGGGUGGUCGCCUCCUAAACGGUAACGGAGGCGUACAAAGGUUUCCUCUGAACGGUUAGAAAUCGUAUCUAGAGUGUAAAGGCAUAAGGAAGCUUGACUGUGAGACCUACAAGUCGAGCAGGGACGAAAGUCGGUCUUAGUGAUCUGACGGUACUGAGUGGAAAGGCCGUCACUCAACGGAUAAAAGUUACUCUAGGAUAACAGGCUGAUCUCCCCCAAGAGUUCACAUCGACGGGGAGGUUUGGCACCUCGAUGUCGGCUCAUCGCAUCCUGGGGCGGUAGUACGUCCCAAGGGUUGGGCUGUUCGCCCAUGAAAGCGGUACGCGAGCUGGGUUCAGAACGUCGUGAGACAGUUCGGUCCAUAUCCGGUGUAGGCGUUAGAAUAUUGAGAGGAGCCUUCUUUAGUACGAGAGGACCGAGAAGGACAUACCUCUGGUGUACCAGUUAUCGUGCCAACGGUAAACGCUGGGUAGCUAUGUAUGGAGUGGAUAACCGCUGAAAGCAUCUAAGUGGGAAGCCCACCUCAAGAUAAGUAUUCUCA